UGCUUUGUUGGAGAAAUCCCCCAUCACACACGCGGUUCAGAUCAAAGCUGCGGUGCUGCUGAUGCUGGGGGGCAAAGACAGGCGGGUGUCUCCUCAUCAGGGGCUGGAGCUUUACAAAGUGCUGAAGAGCAGAGCCUCACCUGUCAGAUUGUUGUGGUUUCCAGAAGACGGUCAUUCUCUGUCCAGGCUGGACACACAAGCUGACUGCUUCAUCAACACUGCUCUGUGGCUGCAGCAGCAUCUAUGAACACAAACUCACCCUGAAGCUGCUGUGCACAUGACUGUCUGUCAGCAAGGCCAAAAAAAGGGGUUCAUGGUUUCUUCCACGCGCCUUUUUACAACUGUACUACUUUAUGUAAAGAAAUGUGCAAAGAUUUUGACAAAAAACUAAACAAAUGUUGAAAAAUAAAAGAUGA
This is a long non-coding RNA of Oryzias melastigma (Indian medaka), 416 nucleotides long. RefSeq lists it as uncharacterized. Lineage: Eukaryota; Metazoa; Chordata; Actinopteri; Beloniformes; Adrianichthyidae. The record is from RefSeq and is a predicted model, not a curated record. The transcript is spliced from 3 exons.